This 1436-nucleotide ribosomal RNA is filed under the name uncultured organism. RNAcentral describes it as "16S ribosomal RNA". It matches the Rfam family "Bacterial small subunit ribosomal RNA". The record is from RNAcentral.
GCUAGCUACAGGCUUAACACAUGCAAGUCGAGGGGCAUCAGGAAGAAAGCUUGCUUUCUUUGCUGGCGACCGGCGCACGGGUGAGUAACACGUAUCCAACCUGCCCUUUACUCGGGGAUAGCCUUUCGAAAGAAAGAUUAAUACCCGAUAGCAUAAUGAUUCCGCAUGGUUUCAUUAUUAAAGGAUUCCGGUAAAGGAUGGGGAUGCGUUCCAUUAGGUUGUUGGUGAGGUAACGGCCCACCAAGCCUUCGAUGGAUAGGGGUUCUGAGAGGAAGGUCCCCCACAUUGGAACUGAGACACGGUCCAAACUCCUACGGGAGGCAGCAGUGAGGAAUAUUGGUCAAUGGGCGCUAGCCUGAACCAGCCAAGUAGCGUGAAGGAUGAAGGCUCUAUGGGUCGUAAACUUCUUUUAUAUAAGAAUAAAGUGCAGUAUGUAUACUGUUUUGUAUGUAUUAUAUGAAUAAGGAUCGGCUAACUCCGUGCCAGCAGCCGCGGUAAUACGGAGGAUCCGAGCGUUAUCCGGAUUUAUUGGGUUUAAAGGGAGCGUAGGUGGACUGGUAAGUCAGUUGUGAAAGUUUGCGGCUCAACCGUAAAAUUGCAGUUGAUACUGUCAGUCUUGAGUACAGUAGAGGUGGGCGGAAUUCGUGGUGUAGCGGUGAAAUGCUUAGAUAUCACGAAGAACUCCGAUUGCGAAGGCAGCUCACUGGACUGCAACUGACACUGAUGCUCGAAAGUGUGGGUAUCAAACAGGAUUAGAUACCCUGGUAGUCCACACAGUAAACGAUGAAUACUCGCUGUUUGCGAUAUACAGUAAGCGGCCAAGCGAAAGCAUUAAGUAUUCCACCUGGGGAGUACGCCGGCAACGGUGAAACUCAAAGGAAUUGACGGGGGCCCGCACAAGCGGAGGAACAUGUGGUUUAAUUCGAUGAUACGCGAGGAACCUUACCCGGGCUUAAAUUGCAGUGGAAUGAUGUGGAAACAUGUCAGUGAGCAAUCACCGCUGUGAAGGUGCUGCAUGGUUGUCGUCAGCUCGUGCCGUGAGGUGUCGGCUUAAGUGCCAUAACGAGCGCAACCCUUAUCUUUAGUUACUAACAGGUUAUGCUGAGGACUCUAGAGAGACUGCCGUCGUAAGAUGUGAGGAAGGUGGGGAUGACGUCAAAUCAGCACGGCCCUUACGUCCGGGGCUACACACGUGUUACAAUGGGGGGUACAGAAGGCAGCUAGCGGGUGACCGUAUGCUAAUCCCAAAAUCCUCUCUCAGUUCGGAUCGAAGUCUGCAACCCGACUUCGUGAAGCUGGAUUCGCUAGUAAUCGCGCAUCAGCCACGGCGCGGUGAAUACGUUCCCGGGCCUUGUACACACCGCCCGUCAAGCCAUGGGAGCCGGGGGUACCUGAAGUACGUAACCGCAAGGAUCGUCCUAGGGUAAAACUGGUGA